RNAcentral lists this ribosomal RNA (460 nucleotides) under uncultured bacterium. Its description in RNAcentral is "partial 16S ribosomal RNA". It matches the Rfam family "Bacterial small subunit ribosomal RNA", at positions 338 to 795 of the family's 1533-position model. The record is from RNAcentral.
CCUACGGGUGGCAGCAGUGAGGAAUAUUGGUCAAUGGACGAGAGUCUGAACCAGCCAAGUAGCGUGAAGGAUGACUGCCCUAUGGGUUGUAAACUUCUUUUAUAUGGGAAUAAAAUGUUCCACGUGUGGGAUUUUGUAUGUACCAUAUGAAUAAGGAUCGGCUAACUCCGUGCCAGCAGCCGCGGUAAUACGGAGGGUCCGAGCGUUAUCCGGAUUUAUUGGGUUUAAAGGGAGCGUAGGUGGAUUGUUAAGUCAGUUGUGAAAGUUUGCGGCUCAACCGUAAAAGUGCAGUUGAAACUGGCAGUCUUGAGUACAGUAGAGGUGGGCGGAAUUCGUGGUGUAGCGGUGAAAUGCUUAGAUAUCACGAAGAACUCCGAUUGCGAAGGCAGUUCACUGGACUGCAACUGACACUGAGGCUCGAAAGUGUGGGUAUCAAACAGGAUUAGAUACCCCAGUAGUC